RNAcentral lists this ribosomal RNA (215 nucleotides) under Echinococcus multilocularis. Its description in RNAcentral is "partial 12S ribosomal RNA". The record is from RNAcentral. Lineage: Eukaryota; Metazoa; Platyhelminthes; Cestoda; Cyclophyllidea; Taeniidae.
CCGCCAGUGAGUGAUUCUGUUAGGGGAAGAUGUCAUMGUAAMGGUAWGGUCCACCUUAUUAAUUUCACUCUUUUUMUGUUGGUGUAUGUCUGGUUUGAUAUUAUUGUUUAGUAAUGUAAGUUUGUGUAGUUUUAGUUAAGCUAAGUCUAUGUGCUGCUUAUAAGAGUUUUUGUGUGUUACACUUUGAUAGGAAUAUUGUUGAAUAUGGUAUUGUA